UGGGGGGAGUGUGUUCCUUCUUUCUUGCCUA
RNAcentral lists this non-coding RNA (31 nucleotides) under Homo sapiens (human). The record is from RNAcentral. Lineage: Eukaryota; Metazoa; Chordata; Mammalia; Primates; Hominidae.